RNAcentral lists this ribosomal RNA (303 nucleotides) under uncultured bacterium. Its description in RNAcentral is "partial 16S ribosomal RNA". It matches the Rfam family "Bacterial small subunit ribosomal RNA", at positions 507 to 809 of the family's 1533-position model. The record is from RNAcentral.
AGCAGUAGCCGCGGUAAUACGUAGGUGGCAAGCGUUGUCCGGAAUUAUUGGGCGUAAAGGGCUCGCAGGCGGUUUCUUAAGUCUGAUGUGAAAGCCCCCGGCUCAACCGGGGAGGGUCAUUGGAAACUGGGAAACUUGAGUGCAGAAGAGGAGAGUGGAAUUCCACGUGUAGCGGUGAAAUGCGUAGAGAUGUGGAGGAACACCAGUGGCGAAGGCGACUCUCUGGUCUGUAACUGACGCUGAGGAGCGAAAGCGUGGGGAGCGAACAGGAUUAGAUACCCGCGUAGUCCCUGUCUCUUAUAA